This 492-nucleotide ribosomal RNA is filed under the name uncultured bacterium. Its description in RNAcentral is "partial 16S ribosomal RNA". It matches the Rfam family "Bacterial small subunit ribosomal RNA", at positions 29 to 507 of the family's 1533-position model. The record is from RNAcentral.
AGUGAACGCUGGCGGUAGGCCUAACACAUGCAAGUCGAACGGCAGCACAGUAAGAGCUUGCUCUUACGGGUGGCGAGUGGCGGACGGGUGAGGCAUACAUCGGAAUCUACUUUUUCGUGGGGGAUAACGUAGGGAAACUUACGCUAAUACCGCAUACGACCUACGGGUGAAAGCAGGGGAUCUUCGGACCUUGCGCGAUUGAAUGAGCCGAUGUCGGAUUAGCUAGUUGGCGGGGUAAAGGCCCACCAAGGCGACGAUGCGUAGCUGGUCUGAGAGGAUGAUCAGCCACACUGGAACUGAGACACGGUCCAGACUCCUACGGGAGGCAGCAGUGGGGAAUAUUGGGCAAUGGGCGCAAGCCUGACCCAGCCAUACCGCGUGGGUGAAGAAGGCCUUCGGGUUGUAAAGCCCUUUUGUUGGGAAAGAAAAGCAGCAGGUUAAUACCCCGCUGUUCUGACGGUACCCAAAGAAUAAGCACCGGCUAACUUCGUG